This is a long non-coding RNA of Lathyrus oleraceus (garden pea), 1310 nucleotides long. RefSeq lists it as uncharacterized. Lineage: Eukaryota; Viridiplantae; Streptophyta; Magnoliopsida; Fabales; Fabaceae. The transcript is spliced from 3 exons. The record is from RefSeq and is a predicted model, not a curated record.
GACCAAUUGAAUUUAAAAUUGAACUUUAAACUUGUCCAUGGUCCAAAAAUCAGCUCAAACAUACCUCCCAUCACCACCACCGUGGGCCACCGCUCCAGAAAUCUCUUUUGGCGGCGGUGGCCACCAAAACUCGAAACCAACACAUCAAAAGCUUCACCAUUUUCUCCCCAUUACGAAUCCCCCACUGUAAACUCCUAAUUCCUCCUCUAAAAUCAGAAUCGAGGUCACAUGCUGAAGAACCCUAAACCUAUGAAUUGAAAUUAAAUCUUCAAGACUUGGAAUCAAAGCCCUAUAAGUUAGGUCUUUGAUUUCCCUAGUCCUCGUCUAUAACAUGAUAACAAUUAUGCAUCAAGCGGCUGCAGAAAUUGAACUAACUUGCCGGAGAAGAGGGCUGAGAUCGGAGCAACACCAGUGUCUGAACAAAAUCCAGGAUCAUGAUCCACAUUUUGGUGAUUAGCUGGUCAUGAAUUGACUAAUGUGGUAUGGGUUGCAGUAUAUGGUGAUUCUGCAGAUGUAGGUGGGCCUUGGUUUCCAACAUGGUCAAUUGGCAACAAAUGAGGUUUGCCUUUUGACUUGGUGUGGUGCGGAAGAGUUCUUAGCUUAGUUCACUGGAAUGUUGUUGCACUGGUCAUCUAGUGCAUGUUAUACAUUAACAACCCCUUCAAUGUUGCUAGCUUAAUCAGGUUGGUUUAUCAAUCACAAUGAGAUUUUGACACUGCAGUAGGUUGAAUUGUUGUGCACUUUUAGGAUUUGAGAGAAAACCAAAUGCUGCCAUGUACCCAGUUCUGUGAGAUGGAGAACUGAUUGCAAUGAUUUUCAAUGGCCUCUAAAAAUGGCUUAGAUCCCUGUUACAAAUCUGCAAGGCUAGAUGACAUGGGAGACAUACUUAGGAUAUCAUAAAGGUCAUGGUUUGCCAAAGGAAACAUGGGCUGCAAUGGGUCACUGGCUGGUGAAGCUGGACAUGAUGGCAAGGUGAAAUAAGGAAACAACCAAAGCACGACUAGGCCAACCAACCAAGUUCAAAACAUAUUGACCAUAAAAUGGAAAAUCAAGUUCAAAUAGUCAUCUCAAGGUCAAAAAUGGGAAUGGAGAAUGAAGUUAGAGAUAGUACUAGUCAUUUAGUGAUUUUAGGAUGAAAAAAAGAUCUAGGUUGACUUUGGUCAAAGUUGAACAAAAAGUCAAUUGUUGACCAAAGUCAAUAAUUGGUCAACAUGUGAUUUUUUUGAUUUUUUUUUUGUAUGUAAUGAACAUUUAUGUGUGAUAAUGAAUAAAAUUGACCAUUUGAAUAAAAAAUGAAUGGAUUAAAUGUA